ACAUUGUUGACUCAGGGGUAGAAUUCUUGUCUUCCACGCGGGAGACCUGGGUUUGAUUCCCAGCCAAUGCA
RNAcentral lists this transfer RNA (71 nucleotides) under Loxodonta africana (African savanna elephant). It matches the Rfam family "tRNA". From Rfam's summary of the family: Transfer RNA (tRNA) molecules are approximately 80 nucleotides in length. Their secondary structure includes four short double-helical elements and three loops (D, anti-codon, and T loops). The record is from Rfam by way of RNAcentral. Lineage: Eukaryota; Metazoa; Chordata; Mammalia; Proboscidea; Elephantidae.